GUAGGGAAUAUUGGGCAAUGGAUGCAAGUCUGACCCAGCCAUCCCGCGUGCCGGAAGAAGGCCCUCAGGGUUGUAAACGGCUUUUGACGGUGAAGAAUCGACAGGAUGCGUCCUGUUUUGACGGUAGCCGUUGAAUAAGCACCGGCUAACUCCGUGCCAGCAGCCGCGGUAAUACUGAGGGUGCGAGCGUUGUCCGGAUUUAUUGGGUUUAAAGGGUGCGUAGGCUGGAAGGUCAGUCAGCGGUGAAAAGCUGUCGCUUAACGAUAGUCUUGCCGCAGAUACUUCCUUUCUUGGAUGAGGAGGAGGCCACUGGAACGGAUGGUGUAGCGGUGAAAUGCAUAGAUAUCAUCCAGAACACCGAUUGCGAAGGCAGGUGGCUGUACCUUAAUCGACGCUGAUGCACGAAAGCAUGGGGAGCAAACAGGAUUAGAAACCCGGGUAGUCC
Molecule: ribosomal RNA, 445 nt
Filed under: uncultured bacterium
Lineage: Bacteria
Description: partial 16S ribosomal RNA
Rfam family: Bacterial small subunit ribosomal RNA
Source: RNAcentral